RNAcentral lists this ribosomal RNA (497 nucleotides) under uncultured bacterium. Its description in RNAcentral is "partial 16S ribosomal RNA". It matches the Rfam family "Bacterial small subunit ribosomal RNA", at positions 28 to 507 of the family's 1533-position model. The record is from RNAcentral.
GACGAACGCUGGCGGCGUGCUUAACACAUGCAAGUCGAACGGAAAGACCCGGAGUUUGUUCCUUUCUCGAUUGGCGCACGGGGGAGUAAAACGUGAGGAAAAUCCCCCUAAAAUUGUGGUAACAUCUCGGGACAGCGGCGAAUACACCGUAUAAUAUACUGAAGCGUAUGGUUGGAUAGUGAAAUACGGCUUUUGUGGCUCGUCUAGAUGGAUAUGCGCCGCAUUGUCUAGUUGGUAAGGUAAAGGCUUACCAAGGGUAAGAUGCGUAGCCGACCUGAGAGGGUGGUCGGCCACACUUGAACUGAGACACGGUCCAGACUCCUACGGGAGGCAGCAGUAGGGAAUCUUCCGCAGUGGGCGAAAGCCUGACGGAGCAACGCCGCGUGAGUGAUGAAGGUCUUCGGAUCGUAAAACUCUGUUAUUAGGGAAGAACAAAUGUGUAAGUAACUAUGCACGUCUUGACGGUACCUAAUCAGAAAGCCACGGCUAACUACGUG